CGCCUUGCCAGCCCGCUCAGAAACUUAAAUGAAUUGACGGGGGCCCGCACAAGCGGCGGAGCAUGUGGAUUAAUUCGAUGCAACGCGAAGAACCUUACCUGGGUUUGACAUACACCGGAAAACCGUAGAGAUACGGUCCCCCUUGUGGUCGGUGUACAGGUGGUGCAUGGCUGUCGUCAGCUCGUGUCGUGAGAUGUUGGGUUAAGUCCCGCAACGAGCGCAACCCUUGUCUUAUGUUGCCAGCACGUAAUGGUGGGGACUCGUAAGAGACUGCCGGGGUCAACUCGGAGGAAGGUGGGGACGACGUCAAGUCAUCAUGCCCCUUAUGUCCAGGGCUUCACACAUGCUACAAUGGCCAGUACAGAGGGCUGCGAGACCGUGAGGUGGAGCGAAUCCCUUAAAGCUGGUCUCAGUUCGGAUCGGGGUCUGCAACUCGACCCCGUGAAGUCGGAGUCGCUAGUAAUCGCAGAUCAGCAACGCUGCGGUGAAUACGUUCCCGGGCCUU
Molecule: ribosomal RNA, 505 nt
Filed under: uncultured Rhodococcus sp.
Lineage: Bacteria; Bacillati; Actinomycetota; Actinomycetes; Mycobacteriales; Nocardiaceae
Description: bacterial SSU rRNA
Rfam family: Bacterial small subunit ribosomal RNA
Source: RNAcentral